This 404-nucleotide ribosomal RNA is filed under the name uncultured bacterium. RNAcentral describes it as "bacterial SSU rRNA". It matches the Rfam family "Bacterial small subunit ribosomal RNA", at positions 355 to 776 of the family's 1533-position model. The record is from RNAcentral.
UGGGGAAUCUUGGACAAUGGGCGCAAGCCUGAUCCAGCCAUGCCGCGUGGAUGAUGAAGGCCUUAGGGUUGUAAAAUCCUUUCACCGGGGACGAUAAUGACGGUACCCGGAGAAGAAGCCCCGGCUAACUUCGUGCCAGCAGCCGCGGUAAUACGAAGGGGGCUAGCGUUGCUCGGAAUUACUGGGCGUAAAGCGCGCGUAGGCGGAUUGAUUAGUCAGAGGUGAAAUCCCAGGGCUCAACCCUGGAACUGCCUUUGAUACUGUCAGUCUGGAGCAAGGUAGAGGCGAGUGGAAUUCCGAGUGUAGAGGUGAAAUUCGUAGAUAUUCGGAGGAACACCAGUGGCGAAGGCGACUCGCUGGACCUUUGCUGACGCUGAGGCGCGAAAGCGUGGGGAGCAAACAGG